This 492-nucleotide ribosomal RNA is filed under the name uncultured bacterium. Its description in RNAcentral is "partial 16S ribosomal RNA". It matches the Rfam family "Bacterial small subunit ribosomal RNA", at positions 29 to 507 of the family's 1533-position model. The record is from RNAcentral.
AGUGAACGCUGGCGGUAGGCCUAACACAUGCAAGUCGAACGGCAGCACAGUAAGAGCUUGCUCUUACGGGUGGCGAGUGACGGGCGGGUGAGGAAUACAUCGGAAUCUACUUUUUCGUGGGGGAUAACGUAGGGAAACUUACGCUAAUACCGCAUACGACCUACGGGUGAAAGCAGGGGAUCUUCGGACCUUGCGCGAUUGAAUGAGCCGAUGUCGGAUUAGCUAGUUGGCGGGGUAAAGGCCCACCAAGGCGACGAUCCGUAGCUGGUCUGAGAGGAUGAUCAGCCACACUGGAACUGAGACACGGUCCAGACUCCUACGGGAGGCAGCAGUGGGGAAUAUUGGACAAUGGGCGCAAGCCUGAUCCAGCCAUACCGCGUGGGUGAAGAAGGCCUUCGGGUUGUAAAGCCCUUUUGUUGGGAAAGAAAAGCAGCAGGUUAAUACCCCGCUGUUCUGACGGUACCCAAAGAAUAAGCACCGGCUAACUUCGUG